Non-coding RNA from Halocaridina rubra (Hawaiian volcano shrimp), 71 nucleotides. Lineage: Eukaryota; Metazoa; Arthropoda; Malacostraca; Decapoda; Atyidae. The record is from the annotation of a GenBank genome assembly.
UACUGUGGUGUAGUCGGUAGCGCCUUGGCCUAGUAAUUACAAGUCCCAGGUUCAAGUCCCGGUCAGAGUAA